ACGCUCGACACCUACGGGAGGCAGCAGUCGGGAAUAUUGCGCAAUGGAGGAAACUCUGACGCAGUGACGCCGCGUGCAGGAAGAAGGUUUUCGGAUUGUAAACUGCUUUAGACAGGGAAGAAAAAGGACAGUACCUGUAGAAUAAGCUCCGGCUAACUACGUGCCACAGCCGCGGUAAUCUGAGCGGGCUGGCAAGGC
Molecule: ribosomal RNA, 198 nt
Filed under: uncultured bacterium
Lineage: Bacteria
Description: partial 16S ribosomal RNA
Rfam family: Bacterial small subunit ribosomal RNA
Source: RNAcentral